This 483-nucleotide ribosomal RNA is filed under the name Triticum aestivum (bread wheat). RNAcentral describes it as "partial small subunit ribosomal RNA". Lineage: Eukaryota; Viridiplantae; Streptophyta; Magnoliopsida; Poales; Poaceae. The record is from RNAcentral.
AUGUCGUCGCUCGCCGUCGGCCGCGGGCCGGAGAGUGAGCUGUACUGGCUCGGGGGCCUCUUCACGGCCGCGGAGCUCGCCGCCGCCGACCUGCUGCUAAAGCUACGCGGUGACGACGAUGAGGCGGCGGCGGCGUCCGCCGACACGUCAUCAUACUCGCGGCGGUUCCCGAGCUCCCGCCGCGAGGACCUCGCCGUGGUCGACCAGGAGACGGAGGAGGAGCGGGCCUUCGAGGACGCCGCGACGGCGUCUGCGGCCACGCCGUUCUCCUCGAGGCGGAGGGCGAGGAAGAGGUACCGCCUGUUGUCUGAGUUGUACGCCGCCACGGCCCCGGUGACAUCAUCUUCCGCCUCCGCGGAGAAGAUACGGAAGGUACACGGCGACCACGGCGCCGGCACCGUCGAGUCGUCGGUGGACCAGGCGACGAGGAAUGGCGAGGGACUAGUAGCACAGAAGGGCUUCUAUGUAAUUACAACACCGUGA